RNAcentral lists this ribosomal RNA (269 nucleotides) under uncultured bacterium. RNAcentral describes it as "partial 16S ribosomal RNA". It matches the Rfam family "Bacterial small subunit ribosomal RNA", at positions 524 to 776 of the family's 1533-position model. The record is from RNAcentral.
UACAGAGGGUGCGAGCGUUGUCCGGAAUCACUGGGCGUAAAGGGCGCGUAGGCGGCUUGAUAAGGUUGCGGUGAAAGCCCGGGGCUCAACCCCGGGUCGGCCGUGCGGACUGGCGUGCUCGAGCACUGUAGGGGCGGGUGGAAUUCCGGGUGUAGCGGUGGAAUGCGUAGAGAUCCGGAAGAACACCGGUGGCGAAGGCGGCCCGCUGGGCAGGAAGGCUCGCAAGAGCCGGCUGACGCUGAGGCGCGACAGCGUGGGGAGCAAACAGG